UUUUUGCCCGGUGGAAAAACAGGACUUUGGUCGUCCAUAUUAAUUCAGGAUCUGGAUGGAGAUGGAAGUCCAGAAUUGAUAGCCGGAAAUUGG
RNAcentral lists this small RNA (93 nucleotides) under Algoriphagus yeomjeoni. RNAcentral describes it as "Flavo-1 RNA". Lineage: Bacteria; Pseudomonadati; Bacteroidota; Cytophagia; Cytophagales; Cyclobacteriaceae. The record is from RNAcentral.